GAGUUUGAUCCUGGCUCAGGACGAACGCUGGCGGCGUGCCUAAUACAUGCAAGUCGAGCGAGCUUGCCUAGAUGAUUUUAGUGCUUGCACUAAAUGAAACUAGAUACAAGCGAGCGGCGGACGGGUGAGUAACACGUGGGUAACCUGCCCAAGAGACUGGGAUAACACCUGGAAACAGAUGCUAAUACCGGAUAACAACACUAGACGCAUGUCUAGAGUUUGAAAGAUGGUUCUGCUAUCACUCUUGGAUGGACCUGCGGUGCAUUAGCUAGUUGGUGUGGUAACGGCACACCAAGGUGACGAUCAGUAGCCGGACUGAGAGGUUGAACGGCCACAUUGGGACUGAGAUACGGCCCAGACUCCUACGGGAGGCAGCAGUCGGGAAUAUUGCGCAAUGGAGGAAACUCUGACGCAGUGACGCCGCGUAUAGGAAGAAGGUUUUCGGAUUGUAAACUAUUGUCGUUAGGGAAGAUAAAAGACAGUACCUAAGGAGGAAGCUCCGGCUAACUACGUGCCAGCAGCCGCGGUAAUACGUAGGGAGCAAGCGUUAUCCGGAUUUAUUGGGUGUAAAGGGU
Molecule: ribosomal RNA, 575 nt
Filed under: uncultured bacterium
Lineage: Bacteria
Description: bacterial SSU rRNA
Rfam family: Bacterial small subunit ribosomal RNA
Source: RNAcentral